UUCGGGUUGUAAACCUCUUUCAGCAGGGAAGAAGCGAAAGUGACGGUACCUGCAGAAGAAGCGCCGGCUAACUACGUGCCAGCAGCCGCGGUAAUACGUAGGGCGCAAGCGUUAUCCGGAAUUAUUGGGCGUAAAGAGCUCGUAGGCGGUUUGUCGCGUCUGCUGUGAAAGCCCGGGGCUCAACCCCGGGUCUGCAGUGGGUACGGGCAGACUAGAGUGCAGUAGGGGAGACUGGAAUUCCUGGUGUAGCGGUGAAAUGCGCAGAUAUCAGGAGGAACACCGAUGGCGAAGGCAGGUCUCUGGGCUGUAACUGACGCUGAGGAGCGAAAGCAUGGGGAGCGAACAGGAUUAGAUACCCUGGUAGUCCAUGCCGUAAACGUGGGCACUAGGUGUGGGGGACAUUCCACGUUUUCCGCGCCGUAGCUAACGCAUUAAGUGCCCCGCCUGGGGAGUACGGCCGCAAGGCUAAAACUCAAAGGAAUUGACGGGGGCCCGCACAAGCGGCGGAGCAUGCGGAUUAAUUCGAUGCAACGCGAAGAACCUUACCAAGGCUUGACAUGAACCGGUAAGACCUGGAAACAGGUCCCCCACUUGUGGCCGGUUUACAGGUGGUGCAUGGUGUCGUCAGCUCGUGUCGUGAGAUGUUGGGUUAAGUCCCGCAACGAGCGCAACCCUCGUUCUAUGUUGCCAGCGGGUUAUGCCGGGGACUCAUAGGAGACUGCCGGGGUCAACUCGGAGGAAGGUGGGGACGACGUCAAAUCAUCAUGCCCCUUAUGUCUUGGGCUUCACGCAUGCUACAAUGGCCGGUACAAAGGGUUGCGAUACUGUGAGGUGGAGCUAAUCCCAAAAAGCCGGUCUCAGUUCGGAUUGAGGUCUGCAACUCGACCUCAUGAAGUGGAGUCGCUAGUAAUCGCAGAUCAGCAACGCUGCGGUGAAUACGUUCCCGGGCCUUGUACAC
RNAcentral lists this ribosomal RNA (958 nucleotides) under Arthrobacter luteolus. Its description in RNAcentral is "bacterial SSU rRNA". It matches the Rfam family "Bacterial small subunit ribosomal RNA", at positions 417 to 1388 of the family's 1533-position model. The record is from RNAcentral. Lineage: Bacteria; Bacillati; Actinomycetota; Actinomycetes; Micrococcales; Micrococcaceae.